UAACAGCUCAGUCACUAGAGCAUGAGACUGUUAAUCUCAGGCUCAUGUGUUCAAGCCCCAUCUUUGGCAAAA
This 72-nucleotide transfer RNA is filed under the name Podarcis lilfordi (Lilford's wall lizard). RNAcentral describes it as "tRNA.Asn". The record is from RNAcentral. Lineage: Eukaryota; Metazoa; Chordata; Lepidosauria; Squamata; Lacertidae.